RNAcentral lists this ribosomal RNA (465 nucleotides) under Vreelandella stevensii. RNAcentral describes it as "partial 16S ribosomal RNA". It matches the Rfam family "Bacterial small subunit ribosomal RNA", at positions 338 to 795 of the family's 1533-position model. The record is from RNAcentral. Lineage: Bacteria; Pseudomonadati; Pseudomonadota; Gammaproteobacteria; Oceanospirillales; Halomonadaceae.
UCUACGUGUGGCUGCAGUGGGGAAUAUUGGACAAUGGGCGAAAGCCUGAUCCAGCCAUGCCGCGUGUGUGAAGAAGGCCUUCGGGUUGUAAAGCACUUUCAGUGGGGAAGAAAGCCUUGGGGCUAAUACCCUCGAGGAAGGACAUCACCCACAGAAGAAGCACCGGCUAACUCCGUGCCAGCAGCCGCGGUAAUACGGAGGGUGCGAGCGUUAAUCGGAAUUACUGGGCGUAAAGCGCGCGUAGGCGGUCUGAUAAGCCGGUUGUGAAAGCCCCGGGCUCAACCUGGGAACGGCAUCCGGAACUGUCAGGCUAGAGUGCAGGAGAGGAAGGUAGAAUUCCCGGUGUAGCGGUGAAAUGCGUAGAGAUCGGGAGGAAUACCAGUGGCGAAGGCGGCCUUCUGGACUGACACUGACGCUGAGGUGCGAAAGCGUGGGUAGCAAACAGGAUUAGAUACCCGUGUAGUC